GAUGAACGCUGGCGGCGUGCCUAAUACAUGCAAGUCGAGCGAACAGACGAGGAGCUUGCUCCUCUGACGUUAGCGGCGGACGGGUGAGUAACACGUGGAUAACCUACCUAUAAGACUGGGAUAACUUCGGGAAACCGGAGCUAAUACCGGAUAAUAUAUUGAACCGCAUGGUUCAAUAGUGAAAGACGGUUUUGCUGUCACUUAUAGAUGGAUCCGCGCUGCAUUAGCUAGUUGGUAAGGUAACGGCUUACCAAGGCAACGAUGCCUAGCCGACCUGAGAGGGUGAUCGGCCACACUGGAACUGAGACACGGUCCAGACUCCUACGGGAGGCAGCAGUAGGGAAUCUUCCGCAAUGGGCGAAAGCUUGACGGAGCAACGCCGCGUGAGUGAUGAAGGUCUUCGGAUCGUAAAACUCUGUUAUUAGGGAAGAACAAAUGUGUAAGUAACUAUGCACGUCUUGACGGUACCUAAUCAGAAAGCCACGGCUAACUACGUG
This 497-nucleotide ribosomal RNA is filed under the name uncultured bacterium. RNAcentral's name for it is "partial 16S ribosomal RNA". It matches the Rfam family "Bacterial small subunit ribosomal RNA", at positions 28 to 507 of the family's 1533-position model. The record is from RNAcentral.